UAUUUCUCCCCCCCAAAAAACUCUACAUUCCCAUGCACACACACACACUAACGCAAUCCCCACCCAGACGUAAUACAUUAGUUUAAACUAAUUUAAACAGUCACAAAACCAAUAGAACAACGAAGUCAGCAUUCAUAUUUCUUUAUGACAUGUUCAUCAUCAACAUUCUUUCAUUGAGUAGCGAGGCUCACCAGGAAAUGUCAGCAUCUAACGAAAUCUUUCAUGCUGUGAGUUUCGACUCAUCGGCUGAGCCUCGUGCUUGGGUUUGGACAUAAUCCAUCUCCUCGGGACCACUCAAGAAGUUGUUCUCACCGUGCAACGCAGUUGUCUUGUCUUGGGUGCUAAUGAUGGAUCACUGACAGACCACCACCACAUAUAUACGAGCAGCUGCACCGUUAACCCUACCGCGUCCAUACAAACCUGGAAAUACAUUCCCCUUCAGCAAGGAGAGUGCAAAAAGUGAAUCAGUAAUACUGAGAUUGAGAUAGAGGUCUGCCAAACACCUACCUGCUCCCCUCAUCCAGCCAUCUACCCACUGAAUAUGAGCCUUUGGAAACUCAACUGACACCUGGACUUUAGCACGUAAACCACCUUCACUAACCCACACGUUGACUUCAAGGACCUCUGUACCAGGGGCUGCUGGAAUUCCAAUAACCCAUAUCCAUAACUAUACCUGGAUUCUCCACCAAGCCACAGACCCAAACAAGGGAGAACCAUCACCAUCACAGACUCACCCUGAACAGUGGCUUUGAGUGGAGUUGGCAACCAUUUUGUUUUCUGAUAAGAGAUAAGACCUGCAGAGUUGGCUUGGCACCAUGAUUGACCUGAGUUACCUGACGGAGGAGGAGCAGGAGAUGAUCCUGUCCGUAUUAAAGAGGGACACAGAUCUGAAGAGGGCCGAGGAACAGCGUGUGAAGAAUCUACAAAAGCAAGAAUGUGACAAGGGCCAGCUGAAGUACCUGACUGGAGAGUGGUUCUAUGAGACAAAGUCAAGGCGUCACAGAGACAGGAUCCAUGGUUCUGACAUCAUCAGAGCAUCCAUAAGUCGGAGGAAACCUGUGACCAUAUUGGAGCUUUCCCAGAUGUGGGCAGAGAGGCCCAGUUUCGUGAACAGUGAGAACCAGGAUGUGUAUGUUCCUCCAGAACUCUCGGGCCUUUUAGAGGAGCCACUGGCACAGCACAAGAACUACUACAGGGACGACAGCUACAAUCUGCCAGAAGUUUUGCAGUCCCCCACGAAGCAAAGACAGAACCCAUUCAACAGCACACCACUUCCACCUGAAACUUUGGAGGAAACAGACAGCCAGUUACCCAAUGAAGCAAUGGAGCAAACCAAGACACCUGACGGGGAGUUUCUACCACCAUCUGAGUUCUGCAUUGCUCAUCUAACUAACUUAAAAUCGAUCUGUUCCGAAAACAUCCAAAGUGCACCUCUGCGCAUGCCUGUCCCCAAAACAAGAACAAUCAUUAACAGAUCCCAGGACUCUCUCUUGGAGAGCCCAGCAACCAGACAGGCCAGCAGCCAGACAGGCCAGCAGCCAGACAGCCCAGCAGCCAGACAGGCCAGCUUUCCCGCCCCUAGGAGCAUCCUCAAACAAAGUAGCUCCACUGACUUUCUUCAGUUCCGAAACCUCUGCAGCUGCCAGCCAGAACCACAAUGUCCACAAACGCUGCACUGCAGUAACGGGGUCUUAGAGCCAUCUUUAGACACCUGGCCUGCUAAAGAGAGAGAGACCCUGGUCUGGAUAGACAGGAAACAGGUGAGAUUCGACCUAGCAGUGAGCAGGAGCAGCGUGGAGUGGCUCACUGAGAUGCAGGAUGGAAAGGAGCUGGGCGAACACAGUCUCCUGGAUUUGUACUGUACAAGCCACCCAGAGGGAGAGGAGGAGACGGGGCAGUCAGACAAAAGUGGCAUCAACAGUGGUAUUGACCAGGGUGAUCACAGACCACUAAAGGAAGACAUUGAGGUUUUGACAGCUGUAGGUUCACCUUGCUGGCUCCAACAGCCCAUUCAUGAUAUGCAGAGACAGGUGGACAUAGGUGAGGGUCUGAGUUGCAGAGAGAAGCCAGAUAUAAGAUGCCUAGACACAGGCCCAGCCCAGGUCCCUGCUGAUCAACUUGACCAUCGUCAUGCUGAGUCCCUUACCAUUCAGGUGUCCGACCUCCAUUGUGCUGUGCAAGAGACAGGUAAGCCCAUUCUCUUGGGGGCCGCGGCCCAGGGGAUCUCCCCCACCAAGAUAACAGAGGAGGACGGUCAAUCCAUGGCUAAGGUUCGCGACUGGUUCAGCUGGAACCUGGGAAGCUGUGACAAGCCACAGGUUCAGCUCCCACAACAACCCAGUGAUGAACCAGUGACUCCUGUCGACAUCAUCACAGAUGAGAUGCCAAGUGAUGCUGCCUCUAAGAAGCCAUCUAGUCGUGUGUCUCCAAAGCCUCGGCGAGGGCUCCUAGGGAUAUUUAGUAGAUGGGAAGCAAGAGAAGAGAAAAUCCCUGAGCCGCAAAGCCCAGUUAAAGAGGUGGUUCUCUGUGAACAGAAAGAGCUUGACGAUACCACCCUGAACUUCAUCUUCUGCCAGUCCACUGUGAAUACUUAUUCUGACCAGCAGCAAGAUCUGCAUAAAUGUGCUACUGACAAACAGUCAGCUAAAAAUGAGAAGACACCGGAGGUUAGAGAACUAGUGCUUAAAAAAGAAAUAGACCAAACUCAACAGGAGCCACAGGGGAGUGCAUGUGGAGUAGAUAUGUUACCAGAUAAACUCUCCAACUUGAAAUCAUUUUGGGAAAGAGAAAUUGGCCCUAAAAUACUGCUCAGUAAGCUAAGCAAUGAUACAAUGAGGUGUGAAGUACUUGUCAGUGCUGGGGAUACUUGUGACCAAAAAAUGCAUGAUUUUGGUACAGAUUUAGCCAAGGCUGAGACUGUUGACGCAUCACCAUCUUUUCAAAAUAUUCAGCUUCACCUCGACACUAGUGGCACGAGAAAGUCCAAUAUUUUUGGAGCAAAAAGCAAUGAUAGUAAUGACUCACAUAUGCUGAUUAACCAUCCCUUCUCCCAAAAGUGGAAACCUCAGAGCAGUGUAACAUAGACCUCAGUGCUGCUCUGUCAUAUGACGAAAAGUCCUCAUCUUCCGUUGAAAGUAACUACUUGUUAAAAACAUCAGGUGACAAUGGUACAUUCAGGGAUAAAUCCAUCCUCAUCUCUGAAGAUAAUUCCAGUUCAUCUGUGGGCUUGACAGUGCCUUCUCAGACAGUCCAGCCAGAUGAGAAGGUGGACAUUCCUUUACAUGUCUCUCCAUCCAGUCCCCGCACAAGCCGGCAGGGGCAUGUCCCAGUGCCCCUUGUUAGACGUUCCCUCAGUCAACAGGAAAGCAGGAAGGCCAAGAUCAAUAACCUCAAGUCCUUCUGGGAGAAGGAGAAUAGUGGACCAAGGGUCAUUGUUGGCAAACCAAAGGAGGCUUUAGGUAGUCAAACCCAUCCGUUUUCAGAAACACCUCCAGUCCACCACUCAAUUGCCACUUCUCAGUCUAGUCUAAGAACAAUUGAAACUGACCUAGGGAAGGGUGACUGUGACAAGCAAAGCUCUUCCUUAUACGGGGUUAAGGCCAGCGCCUCCGACUUGUCCAUGGCUGAAAGAAUAGAAAAGGGUUUCAUCAAGUGGAGUUCAAACUCAUCACUACCGAGUAGUCACUGUAGUGUUGGCGAUGUUGAUUCUAUAAAUCAGCAAGAUUCAUGUAAGAUGGAAACAGGGUCAACCCUGAAUCAAGAAAGACCCUUAAGUCCUAAAACACCUCUGCCUAGAUCUGAAAUUCCAAAGUGGAAAGACAAAACUGACGAUGAACUUAAGAGAAGUCCUUCAAAGACCUGUCAUCCAAAAGCCCUGCCCAGAGGUUCAUCCAGUUUCCAAGGAGCCAGCCGUGAUAGUUCUCCAUUUAAAUCCUUCUCCAUAGACAUUGCCUCACCCACAAGGGAGCAUCAGGAUGAUCCAGAGAGAGCAACACCAGUGGUUAAACAGAGAAAAGGACUCUCACAUGAAGCAAUGCAGUCAGGAUCAGAGUCCACCAAACAUACCCUAGGAAUCACGUCUACCUCUCCACAGUUUAGAUCUGAAGAGAAGGGGCAGGAUCACCUGACCUUUCCACGUAGAGGCUCGGCACAGAGCUCACUAACUUCUAUGAUGUCCCCGCUAUCACCUACAAGGUCGCACCCUUGCCCCUUCAGAAGGACCAGUUUAGGGAACCUAAGUGUACAGGAGGGCAGUCCUCACUGGUCCUCUAGGCCAAAUCAUGGGGACCCGCAUAUAAGAAGAGCCUUUGAAGCUGGCAAGAUUGGUCAACAGCCCAUCAAUAGGGAUCCUGGUGAAAGAAAGCUUUCGGGAGCAUCUGAAGUCUCUGAAACAUAUCUCCGCCUUGCAAGAUCUUUCAUUCCCCAGAGCAACCAACAUUAUUUGGGGCUCCCUGAGCAGACACACAUCCCUCAGUUUAUCUCAGAUAAAGUGGGGAAUGACCAUCUGAGUCCCACUGUCCCCACUCCAUUGCUCCUGAGCAUAAGAAGCAGUGAGGGGAGUCCAUCUUGGAUCAGUCCUAGGUCCAUGGAGAAUGUCGACAGUCGCUUAUCCAGACGAAGCAUGCCUGAGAUCUGGUCUCAAUCUCGGGCAAGUUCAAGCUGUCAUGGUGAGAACUCAAGCCCUAUCAGGUUAGAGUUUAAACAAAUGUCUUCAAGACCCUUAUCCAGAAGUCUGGAGGACGUUUUAUCACCACCAAAAC
Molecule: RNA transcript, 4760 nt
Organism: Oncorhynchus gorbuscha (pink salmon)
Lineage: Eukaryota; Metazoa; Chordata; Actinopteri; Salmoniformes; Salmonidae
Gene: sytl2a
Gene name: synaptotagmin-like 2a
Exons: 9
Source: RefSeq, a predicted model, not a curated record